Molecule: ribosomal RNA, 459 nt
Filed under: uncultured bacterium
Lineage: Bacteria
Description: partial 16S ribosomal RNA
Rfam family: Bacterial small subunit ribosomal RNA
Source: RNAcentral
CCUACGGGAGGCUGCAGUGAGGAAUAUUGGUCAAUGGGAGAGAUCCUGAACCAGCCAAGCCGCGUGAGGGAAGACGGCCCUAUGGGUUGUAAACCUCUUUUGUCGGAGAACAAAACCCGGGACGUGUCCCGGACUGCGUGUAUCCGAAGAAAAAGCAUCGGCUAACUCCGUGCCAGCAGCCGCGGUAAUACGGAGGAUGCGAGCGUUAUCCGGAUUUAUUGGGUUUAAAGGGUGCGUAGGCGGUCCGUUAAGUCAGCGGGAAAAUUGCGGGGCUCAACCCCGUCGAGCCGUUGAAACUGGCAGACUUGAGUUGGCGAGAAGUACGCGGAAUGCGCGGUGUAGCGGUGAAAUGCAUAGAUAUCGCGCAGAACUCCGAUUGCGAAGGCAGCUUACCGGCGCCAGACUGACGCUGAGGCACGAAAGCGUGGGGAUCGAACAGGAUUAGAUACCCCGGUAGUC